This 511-nucleotide ribosomal RNA is filed under the name uncultured bacterium. RNAcentral describes it as "partial 16S rRNA". It matches the Rfam family "Bacterial small subunit ribosomal RNA", at positions 355 to 896 of the family's 1533-position model. The record is from RNAcentral.
UGGGGAAUAUUGGACAAUGGGGGCAACCCUGAUCCAGCAAUUCUGUGUGCACGAAGAAGGUUUUCGGAUUGUAAAGUGCUUUCAGCAGGGAAGAAAAAAAUGACGGUACCUGCAGAAGAAGCGACGGCUAAAUACGUGCCAGCAGCCGCGGUAAUACGUAUGUCGCAAGCGUUAUCCGGAAUUAUUGGGCAUAAAGGGCAUCUAGGCGGCCAGAUAAGNNNGNUGAAAANCUGGCCACCAACGGCGNNAUUGGGNCNNUGGGAGNGGAAGUGACGAAUGANAUAAGUGAUUCUAAUUCAGUGAAUUCUAAUUGUGCAGGAUGCCGAGAUGAAANNANNAAAAUGNNNGGGGGUAUAUGCCGCCCCCNAUGCGAAAGCUAGGGGAGCAAACAGGAUUAGAUACCCUGGUAGUCCUAGCUGUAAACGAUGAUUACUGGGUGUGGGCAUGAAGAGUGUCCGUGCCGAAGCUAAUGCGAUAAGUAAUCCGCCUGGGGAGUACGGCCGCAAGGCUG